UACGUAGGGGGCAAGCGUUGUCCGGAAUCAUUGGGCGUAAAGCGCGUGUAGGCGGCUUGGUAAGUCCGCUCUGAAAGCCCGGGGCUCAACCCCGGGAGGCGGGUGGAUACUGUCAAGCUCGAGUCCGGAAGAGGCGAGUGGAAUUCCUGGUGUAGCGGUGAAAUGCGCAGAUAUCAGGAGGAACACCAAUGGCGAAGGCAGCUCGCUGGGACGGUACUGACGCUGAGACGCGAAAGCGUGGGGAGCGAACAGG
This 253-nucleotide ribosomal RNA is filed under the name uncultured bacterium. Its description in RNAcentral is "partial 16S ribosomal RNA". It matches the Rfam family "Bacterial small subunit ribosomal RNA", at positions 524 to 776 of the family's 1533-position model. The record is from RNAcentral.